GGAGGUCAGAGCACGGAGGUUUUGAAGCAGAGAGACUUUGGAGUUCUGUUUUGAGUCGGGGGAACGUUCGCAAAGAGUUUUUGGAAGAUUAGCUAAGGAGAAAACCGUAAGGUUAAUGGACGUAAUUCCAUGGUCUUCAAGGAGAAAAUACAUGGUGGUGCCCUUAUUGUGUGUGGAAUGAUUUGCAUGGGAGCUCAGUCUUGGGGGUUAUCCUGAAACUCCAAUGGUCUGUCAUUCUCAAUUAGAGAGGAUUGAUUCAUGUGGUGAGGAGUAGCAGGAGGUCCUAGUCUUGGAGGCUUCCAGUAUGCUCCAAGGUGAGUAAUAACGGACUAACCUCGUGAGUGUGGUAGGGUGAAACCCAUUGACAAUGGCUUUGCAAAGCAGUAGAGGCCACCACGAGUGCACGACCCACCAUAGCUCGGCAAUCAUUCAAGUCCGGACGAGUCAAGUGUCAAGUGUAUUAGGUCAAGUGUAAAAGGGUAACAAGUCAUGUGUAUAGUUGAAUUCAUCUGUAUGUAAUUGCAUGUUGUAUGUGAUUGUGAUAAUAUGCAUCUUGUAUAUGAUUUGAUAACAUGAUUUUUGUAUAUCUAGCUUACCCUUGCUUGUGUGUUUGUGUUUGCUUGGGUAUGCUUUUUCUUUUGCGAUGAUCAUCCACUUGGAUGAGAGCAGAUGACGAGGAUGUUCGUGUGGAGACAACUUUAGAAGGAGGUAGCGAUGCUGCUGUUUAGUCUUCAUAGGACUUUCUUAAUAAUUCCAUGUAUUUCGGAAUACCUUUCCUUUCACGUUUCCAACUUAAACUAUUAGUGUGUUUAAGUUUUAAAUUCUGACUCUACUUGGGAUGAUUGUAAUCCUAAUUACUCUAAACUGCUUUCAUAUAUUAUGCA
Molecule: long non-coding RNA, 884 nt
Organism: Vigna angularis (adzuki bean)
Lineage: Eukaryota; Viridiplantae; Streptophyta; Magnoliopsida; Fabales; Fabaceae
Exons: 2
Source: RefSeq, a predicted model, not a curated record